AGCCAUGUGGUGAGCACAAAGCGAACUAUUCUUUCGCCUUUUACUAAAGAAUACCGUAUGCUCGUCAUUUAUAGUGGCAUAUGUCUAUUUUUGGAGAGUCUCUUUUUCGUGAAGGGCU
Lactuca sativa (garden lettuce) is the source of this 118-nucleotide small nuclear RNA. RefSeq annotates it as U5 spliceosomal RNA. Lineage: Eukaryota; Viridiplantae; Streptophyta; Magnoliopsida; Asterales; Asteraceae. The record is from RefSeq and is a predicted model, not a curated record.